AUAUUGGCAAGAACCACAGCACUACCCAAAGGUGACAGCAGUGGGAUUAUAGCCAAGAUUAUUUUCCUGGUACUUCUUGUCUCAUUGUCACUGGUCGUUGCACUUAUCUUGAUUGAACUACAAGGCAAGCAGGCAGGUAUAAAGGAAACUGUGUCUGUGGUGCAUGAAACAAAAGAAGA
Molecule: non-coding RNA, 179 nt
Organism: Cherax quadricarinatus
Lineage: Eukaryota; Metazoa; Arthropoda; Malacostraca; Decapoda; Parastacidae
Source: RefSeq, a predicted model, not a curated record